GAUAGGAUGGUGCAGUGGUUUGAACAUUGGACUACGACUCUGGAGACUGGGGUUCAAAUCCCCAUUCAGCUA
Phrynosoma platyrhinos (Desert horned lizard) is the source of this 72-nucleotide non-coding RNA. NCBI's taxonomy places the organism in Eukaryota, Metazoa, Chordata, Lepidosauria, Squamata, Phrynosomatidae. The record is from the annotation of a GenBank genome assembly.